AGAGAGAAGCCUGCUGGUCGACGACGCCCAGACACCACCGCUGCCUGUGUGCGCCGUCGAAGAAGCUCGUCCGCAGUCGUCGCCUGGGCCGCCACUUCGAGGACUUGAAAUUGGCAAGCCCUCUCUGUUUUCGUACUCACUGUAAAGUAUUGUGUGUUGCUACAAGGUCUUGGAAGAAUUUGCGAGUCAACGAGGCUAGUGAUAAAUUAUACUCGUUUUGACUUGGAAGUAUUUUGGCAUAACGAGUAACGGGCUGAUAGAUGUUGACGUGAGGCGACAGAGUGGUUUGGAGCAGGCAAUUGGGCAUGUGAAUAGUGCACCUGAUUUAAGACAUAACUGCCAUUUAACAGUUUACGUGUCGUUACCUUCUCAAGAGACACAACCUCGCACAGCAAACUUCACAGCAAGUAAAGAGUUGCCGAGACCACGAGAGCGACCAACAAGUGCCGUAGUUUCAGCCCAAGGUUAUGUGUGGGUGACGGCCUAGUUGCCUGGCUCAAGACCAGAACAAUACUGCUGCAGUAGCCGUGCUAGCAGUCGGCGAGGCGGACCGCGGCCUCCCGCGCCCCGGAGCUGCGGCGCGCGGGCCGGUCAGCGAGUCCAGACUCGUGACUUCGCUUGCUGAGCGGAGCUGUACUCGUUGCGCUGACGCCAACGGGACAUCAGACACCAUCCACCACAUGUCGACCCCUACAAGACUAAGGAUGUGCCUCGAGGUGGGAUCACUUCCACAACUGGAAUGCAUCGGAUGCAUUGCGAUACCGCUCACGUGAAACUUCCAGCUAUUACACAGUACACACACCCUGUGGUGAUUCCAUUAGGGAGCGUUUACACGGGUAGAGUAAACGGAAAGGCAUAACUUUCCCUAGUUGCUGUCCCAUUUACUCUACCCGAAUAAACGCUCCUUAAGGUGGCUGUCAAGAUUUUUUGAAAGUGUCUGACUAAGAUUAGCACUUAAAAGUCACUACACUAAACUAUACAAUUUUUUUUCUCCA
Long non-coding RNA from Bacillus rossius redtenbacheri, 995 nucleotides. RefSeq lists it as uncharacterized. The transcript is spliced from 2 exons. The record is from RefSeq and is a predicted model, not a curated record. NCBI's taxonomy places the organism in Eukaryota, Metazoa, Arthropoda, Insecta, Phasmatodea, Bacillidae.